Molecule: ribosomal RNA, 1425 nt
Filed under: uncultured bacterium
Lineage: Bacteria
Description: 16S ribosomal RNA
Rfam family: Bacterial small subunit ribosomal RNA
Source: RNAcentral
UUAGAGUUUGAUCCUGGCUCACGAUGAACGCUGGCGGCGUGCCUUAAGCAUGCAAGUCGAACGGGGUCCGCAAGGACCAAGUGGCGGACGGGUGAGUAACGCGUAGAAAUCUACCCCUAGGUGGACCAUAGCUCAUCGAAAGAUGGGGUAAUAGUCCAUGGUUCCGGAAACGGUAAAGCAAUUAACUUUGCGCCAAGGGAGGAGUCUGCGUCCUAUCAGCUAGUUGGUGGGGUAAUGGCCUACCAAGGCAAUGACGGGUAGCUGGACUGAGAGGUCGAUCAGCCACAACUGCACUUAGACACGGGCAGUACACCUACGGGUGGCAGCAACUGGGAAUAUUGCGCAAUGGGGGAAACCCUGACGCAGCGACGCCGCGUGGAGGAUGAAGGCCUUAGGGUUGUAAACUCCUUUUAAUAGACCUUUCACGGUCUAUAGAAUAAGCCUCUACUAACUACGUGCCAGAAGUCUCGGUAAUACGUAGGAGGCGAGCGUUAUCCGGAUUUAUUGGGCGUAAAGUGUGCGUAGGCGGAUCGAUGUGUCUUCUCUUAAAGACUGAAGCUUAACUUCAGCAGUGGGGAAGAAACUAUCGAACUUGAGGAUUGUUAGGGAUGUCGGAACAGUUAGUGUAGCAGUGAAAUGCGUUGAUAUUAACUGGAACACCAAAGGCGAAGGCAGACAUCUGGGAUUUUCCUGACGCUGAGGCACGAAAGCUAGGGUAGCGAAACAGAUUAGAUACCUGUGUAGUCCUAGCUGUAAACGAUGUCCGCUAGCUCUGUGCGUUUACGUACGGGGUGUAAGCUAACGCGUUAAGCGGACCGCCUGGGGAGUACGGCCGCAAGGCUAAAACUCAAAGGAAUUGACGGGGACCCGCACAACCGGUGGAGCGUGUGGUUCAAUUCGAGACAAAACGAAAAAACCUCACCAGGACUUGACAUGAUACCGUACAUUUUUCCUAGAAAUAGGGAGAAAUCCGCAAGGAUGGUACCACAGGUGCUGCAUGGCUGUCGUCAGCUCGUGCCGUGAGGUGUUCCCUUAAGUGGGGAAACGAGCGCAACCCGCGUCCAAUGUUGAAUAUUCAUUGGAGACUGUCCCGGUUUUACCGGGGAGGAAGGAGCGGAAGACGUCAAGUCAGCACGGCCCUUAUGUCCUGGGCUACACACACACUAUAAUGGCGAAAAACAACGGGCUGCAAGCCGGUAACGGCAAGCUAAUCCCUUAAAUUUCGCCUCAGUUCAGAUUGAGGUCUGCAACCUGACCUCAGGAAGUCGGAAUCGGUAGUAAUCGCGGAUCAGAAUGCCGCGGGGAAUACGUUCUGGGGUCUUGUACACACCGCCGGUCAAGGCAGCAAAGUCGGUAGUUAUCGAACAUCCUUUCGGGGGUGGAGAUAGAGAUGGGGGAGGAGGCUUAAGUGGUAACAAGGUAACC